Molecule: transfer RNA, 84 nt
Filed under: Minisyncoccota bacterium
Lineage: Bacteria; Bacillati; Minisyncoccota
Description: tRNA-Leu
Rfam family: tRNA
About the family: Transfer RNA (tRNA) molecules are approximately 80 nucleotides in length. Their secondary structure includes four short double-helical elements and three loops (D, anti-codon, and T loops).
Source: RNAcentral
GUCGGAGUGGCGAAAUUGGCAGACGCGCUAGCCUUAGGAGCUAGUGACAGAAAUGUCUUGGGAGUUCAAAUCUCCCCUCCGACA